GCUCAGGAUGAACGCUGGCGGCGUGCCUAAUACAUGCAAGUCGAGCGAAUGGAUUGAGAGCUUGCUCUCAAGAAGUUAGCGGCGGACGGGUGAGUAACACGUGGGUAACCUGCCCAUAAGACUGGGAUAACUCCGGGAAACCGGGGCUAAUACCGGAUAACAUUUUGAACUGCAUGGUUCGAAAUUGAAAGGCGGCUUCGGCUGUCACUUAUGGAUGGACCCGCGUCGCAUUAGCUAGUUGGUGAGGUAACGGCUCACCAAGGCAACGAUGCGUAGCCGACCUGAGAGGGUGAUCGGCCACACUGGGACUGAGACACGGCCCAGACUCCUACGGGAGGCAGCAGUAGGGAAUCUUCCGCAAUGGACGAAAGUCUGACGGAGCAACGCCGCGUGAGUGAUGAAGGCUUUCGGGUCGUAAAACUCUGUUGUUAGGGAAGAACAAGUGCUAG
RNAcentral lists this ribosomal RNA (449 nucleotides) under Bacillus sp. (in: firmicutes). Its description in RNAcentral is "bacterial SSU rRNA". It matches the Rfam family "Bacterial small subunit ribosomal RNA", at positions 22 to 459 of the family's 1533-position model. Lineage: Bacteria; Bacillati; Bacillota; Bacilli; Caryophanales; Bacillaceae. The record is from RNAcentral.